CCCUCCUGCACUGGAUAAAGUGUCUAAAAACCCCAUCGGUUUGGACAUGGUGCACCUUAUCGAAUACCAACUUCACUUUGGAGAUGAAAGGGUGUUGAGGACAAAUGUUUAACCCAGGUGCAGCCUAAGGCUGGAUAAAGGUGAUAUAAUCUUAUAAGAAGAUAAGAAAAUGAUUCCUCACAUAGAAAGGAGACAUUCCAAGGUGGAUAAAGUUUCAUUUAAUUUUAAAGGUAUAAAUGAUAAGGUAGAAGGCAGUGGAGAAUCAAGCCCUGUAUUACCUUUACUCAAUGUGAGCAACACCAGGUCAUGUGAGGAGUCCUUACUGACUGCUACUCUGUGAAAGGAAUUGGACCCUGGAUGUUUUUCUUAAAGACUCUGGGCCAAACUAUGCAGAGAUGAGUGGAAGAAGAAGGCACAAGCAGCCUGCUCACUUUCUCCCCUGCACAGGAACUGGGCACCAUUUCAGUCCUUGAGCAAUAUGAGCGUGAAACCCAUUAGGCCAGUAACCACUGCAGCAUUAGACUCUCCAAAAUGAGCAGAUGGCAAGGUCAUAGUCUCAC
RNAcentral lists this long non-coding RNA (560 nucleotides) under Gopherus agassizii (Agassiz's desert tortoise). RNAcentral describes it as "lncRNA (ENSGAGG00000009154.1)". Lineage: Eukaryota; Metazoa; Chordata; Testudines; Testudinidae. The record is from RNAcentral.